Molecule: ribosomal RNA, 245 nt
Filed under: uncultured bacterium
Lineage: Bacteria
Description: partial 16S ribosomal RNA
Rfam family: Bacterial small subunit ribosomal RNA
Source: RNAcentral
GACAGGGGAUGCAAGUGUUAUCCGGAAUUAUUGGGCGUAAAGCGUCUGCAGGUUGAUAAUUAAGUCUUUUGUUAAAUCUCUGGGCUUAACCCAGAAUCUGCAAAAGAAACUAUUUAUCUAGAGUAUAGUAGAGGUAAAGAGAAUUUCCAGUGGAGCGGUGAAAUGCGUAGAUAUUGGAAAGAAUACCAAGAGCGAAGGCACUUUACUAGGCUAGUACUGACACUCAGAGACGAAAGCUAGGGGAG